RNAcentral lists this ribosomal RNA (465 nucleotides) under uncultured bacterium. RNAcentral describes it as "bacterial SSU rRNA". It matches the Rfam family "Bacterial small subunit ribosomal RNA", at positions 340 to 786 of the family's 1533-position model. The record is from RNAcentral.
UACGGGAGGCAGCAGUGGGGAAUAUUGCACAAUGGGCGAAAGCCUGAUGCAGCUAUGCCGCGUGUAUGAAGAAGGCCUUAGGGUUGUAAAGUACUUUUCAUCGGGGAGGAAAAAAACAAAAACUAAUAAUUUUAAUUUUCUUUGACGUUACCCGAAAAAGAAGCACCGGCUAACUCCGUGCCAGCAGCCGCGGUAAUACGGAGGGUGCUAGCGUUAAUCAGAAUUACUGGGCGUAAAGAGCACGUAGGUGGCUUUUUUAAGUUCAGAUGUGAAAUCCCUGGGCUUAACCUGGAACUGCAUUUUGAAACUGAAAUACUAGAGUAUCGUAGAGGGAGGUAGAAUUCUAGGUGUAGCGGUGAAAUGCGUAGAUAUCUGGAGGAAUACCUGUGGCGAAAGCGGCCUCCUAAACGAAUACUGACACUGAGGUGCGAAAGCGUUGGGGAGCAAACAGGGAUUUAGGAUACC